CCAAUAGCGUAUAUUAGUGUUGUUGCGGUUAAAAAGCUCGUAGUUGAAUUUCGGGAUUGGGAUAUAUCGGUCAUGCCUUUAGGGGCAUGAAUCGGUGUGUAGCCAAUUUCUCACCUUCUGGUGAAUUGGGAUGCUCUUGGGUGUUUCAAUGAACUAGGACUUUUACUUUGAAAAAAAUAUAGUGUUUAAAGCGGGCAUUUUUGCUUGAAUACAUUAGCAUGGAAUAAUAAAAUAGGACGAUGGUUCUAUUUUGUUGGUUUUAGGACCACGUAAUGAUUAAUAGGGAUAGUUGGGGGCAUUAGUAUUCAAUUGUCAGAGGUGAAAUUCUUGGAUUUAUUGAGGACUAACUACUGCGAAAGCAUUUGCCAAGGAUGUUUUCAUUAAUCAAGAACGAAAGUUAGGGGAUCAAAGACGAUUUAUGUACGUCGUAGUCUUAACCAUAAACUAUGCCGACUAGGAAUCAGACAAAGUUCAUUUUUUAACGACUUGUUUGGUACCUUACG
Molecule: ribosomal RNA, 503 nt
Filed under: uncultured Entrophospora
Lineage: Eukaryota; Fungi; Glomeromycota; Glomeromycetes; Entrophosporales; Entrophosporaceae
Description: SSU rRNA
Rfam family: Eukaryotic small subunit ribosomal RNA
Source: RNAcentral